GUUGAAAGAUGGCUUCUCGCUAUCACUUACGGAUGGGCCCGCGGCGCAUUAGCUAGUUGGUGAGGUAACGGCUCACCAAGGCGACGAUGCGUAGCCGACCUGAGAGGGUGAUCGGCCACACUGGGACUGAGACACGGCCCAGACUCCUACGGGAGGCAGCAGUAGGGAAUCUUCCGCAAUGGACGAAAGUCUGACGGAGCAUCGCCGCGUGAACGAUGAAGGUCUUCGGAUCGUAAAGUUCUGUUGUCAGGGAAGAACAAGUGCCGUGCGAAUAGAGCGGCACCUUGACGGUACCUGACGAGGAAGCCCCGGCUAACUACGUGCCAGCAGCCGCGGUAAUACGUAGGGGGCAAGCGUUGUCCGGAAUUAUUGGGCGUAAAGCGCGCGCAGGCGGUUCCUUAAGUCUGAUGUGAAAGCCCACGGCUCAACCGUGGAGGGUCAUUGGAAACUGGGGAACUUGAGUGCAGAAGAGGAGAGUGGAAUUCCACGUGUAGCGGUGAAAUGCGUAGAUAUGUGGAGGAACACCAGUGGCGAAGGCGACUCUCUGGUCUGUAACUGACGCUGAGGCGCGGAAAGCGUGGGGAGCAAACCGGAUUAGAUACCCUGGUAGUCCACGCCGUAAACGAUGAGUGCUAGGUGUUAGGGGGGCUUCCACCCCUUAGUGCUG
RNAcentral lists this ribosomal RNA (667 nucleotides) under Thalassobacillus devorans. Its description in RNAcentral is "bacterial SSU rRNA". It matches the Rfam family "Bacterial small subunit ribosomal RNA", at positions 199 to 848 of the family's 1533-position model. The record is from RNAcentral. Lineage: Bacteria; Bacillati; Bacillota; Bacilli; Caryophanales; Bacillaceae.